CUCAACGGUUCAAAGAAGAGAAAUAAAUUAUUGAAUCGCUAAUGUUAAAAAGUGAUUUUCAAGUCAAUAAUUUUAGAUUCCUUAUCAGAUUAAUGGACUGCAAGUCACUUUUAAUUAAUUCAAUAAAUCGGGCCAUACAAGGUCAAUUGUAGAAGCAAAAUAAUUAUAACUUUCAGGUUAAAAUUAUUUUAAAUGCCAAAAAUU
This 204-nucleotide long non-coding RNA is filed under the name Malus domestica (apple). RNAcentral's name for it is "long non-coding RNA (MDOM_LNC002825)". The record is from RNAcentral. Lineage: Eukaryota; Viridiplantae; Streptophyta; Magnoliopsida; Rosales; Rosaceae.